RNAcentral lists this ribosomal RNA (406 nucleotides) under uncultured bacterium. RNAcentral's name for it is "partial 16S ribosomal RNA". It matches the Rfam family "Bacterial small subunit ribosomal RNA", at positions 28 to 526 of the family's 1533-position model. The record is from RNAcentral.
GACGAACGCUGGCGGCGUGCUUAACACAUGCAAGUCGAACGAGUGGCGAACGGGUGAGUAAUACGUGGGUAACCUGCCCUCUUUUUGGGAUAAGCCUUGGAAACGGGGUCUAAUACCGAAUAAAGGGGGAUGGGCUCGCGGCCUAUCAGCUUGUUGGUGGGGUGAUGGCCUACCAAGGCGGUGACGGGUAGCAGGCCUGAGAGGGUGAUGGGCCACAGUGGGGCUGAGAUACGGCACAGACUCCGACGGGAGGCAGCAGUGGGGGAUAGUGCAAAAUGGGCGAAAGCCUGAUGCAGCGACGCCGCGUGGGGGAUGAAGGCUUCCGGGUUGUAAACCUCUUUCGCUAGCGAACCGGUAGGGGGAGAAGAAGCGCCGGCUAACUACGUGCCAGCAGCCGCGGUAAUAC